UCUGGGUAAACGGACACAGCGCUUCGCUCUCAACACUUUUGUCAGCGUCCGACGAGUGCCGUAUCCGGUUGUUAGAACGGGAGUAUCGAAUGUUGUAAGGCGCCUGAGGCGUUCAUCUGAUGAUGAUGAGGAAUGAUAUGUGCCAGCUUGUCGAGUAUUCUCUCAAACCGUAAACGGUUCAAAACCAGAGGCCGGGCGACGGAUCAAUCGAAUCGUGUACAUCAUCACUGCCAGACUUCAAGUGAAGAUAUCAUUGGCGCCUUAAGGAAAUUAGCUGUGCCUUAGGGUCCUUGCAAUGAAGAGCAAUUAUAAAGGCGUAACGGGUCAAGGGGUAAAAAUAGCAGCCGCGGCUUACCUACCCUGACAGCAGUGGAUGAUUGAUACAAGCAGGAAAUGGGAGAUCUCAGCUACAAGGGACAGAUCGAUUAGAAUAGUGAAAU
This is a long non-coding RNA of Varroa destructor (honeybee mite), 440 nucleotides long. RefSeq lists it as uncharacterized. Lineage: Eukaryota; Metazoa; Arthropoda; Arachnida; Mesostigmata; Varroidae. The record is from RefSeq and is a predicted model, not a curated record.